This 253-nucleotide ribosomal RNA is filed under the name uncultured bacterium. RNAcentral describes it as "partial 16S ribosomal RNA". It matches the Rfam family "Bacterial small subunit ribosomal RNA", at positions 524 to 776 of the family's 1533-position model. The record is from RNAcentral.
GACAGAGGGUGCAAACGUUGUUCGGAAUUACUGGGCGUAAAGCGCGUGUAGGUGGCGAGGCAAGUCGGGUGUGAAAGCCCUGGGCUCAACCCAGGAAGUGCACUCGAUACUGCCUAGCUAGAGUCCCGGAGAGGUUGGUGGAACUCUCGGUGUAGAGGUGAAAUUCGUAGAUAUCGAGAGGAACACCUGAGGUGAAGACGGGUUGCUGGGCUGACACUGACGCUGAGGCGCGAAAGCCAGGGGAGCAAACGGG